Long non-coding RNA from Epinephelus fuscoguttatus (brown-marbled grouper), 398 nucleotides. RefSeq lists it as uncharacterized. The record is from RefSeq and is a predicted model, not a curated record. Lineage: Eukaryota; Metazoa; Chordata; Actinopteri; Perciformes; Serranidae. The transcript is spliced from 3 exons.
CUCUCCUGAACCACAGGUAACUGGGAUGUGGUCUCUUCCUCCUUGCUGGUUGCUGAGGCGCUGAUGGAGUCCCGUGAGGUUGGGUCAGGCUCUGCUUGCUCCUUCUGUUGCUGUUCAUUUGUCUGCGUGUUCAGUCGGGUUCAUCAAGUGGUUCCUCGGAGGGCUGUGUGGGUUCAUCCACUCCUCCCCCGGCACUAUCUGUGGGUGGAAAAGAGAAAACCAAAAUUGGAAACCAAGAUGAAAAACAUUAUCAAACAAAUUCUUGUCAGUGGCUUCAUUGGUACUGCUAGCUGCUGGUUGGUCGUCUGUGCUCCCUGAUGCCAUCUGCUCGCUGUCUCUCUUCCUGUCUGGCUGGCGAACUGCAGUAUCCUGUGCAGGAUUACAAAUAUACAUCCAAG